Molecule: long non-coding RNA, 1711 nt
Organism: Mytilus californianus (California mussel)
Lineage: Eukaryota; Metazoa; Mollusca; Bivalvia; Mytilida; Mytilidae
Exons: 2
Source: RefSeq, a predicted model, not a curated record
CUAUUAUGGUCCAAUGUCCAAAAUCAAAAUACAUGGUUAGAUUCAGCAUAUCAAAGAACCCCAUAUAUUCAAUUUUUGUUGAAAUCAAACAAAGUUUAAUUUUGGACCCCAACUUGGACAAACUUGAAAACUGGGCCCAUAAUCAAAAAUCUAAAUACAUGUUUAGAUUCCACAUAUCAAAGAACCCCAAGAAUUCAAUUUUUGUUAAAAUCAAACUAAGUUUAAUUUUGGACCCUUUGGACCUUAAUGUAGACCAAUUUAAAAAACGGGACCCAAAAUUAAAAAUCUACAUACACGGUUAGAUUUGGAAUAUUAAAGAACCCCAAUAAUUCAAUUUUUGAUGAAAUCAAACAAAGUUUAAUUUUGGACCCUUUUGACUUCAAUAUGAACCAAUUUAAUAGCGGGGCCCACAAAUAAAAAAUCUAAAUACAUGGUUAGAUUCAGCAUAUCAAAGAACCCCAUAUAUUCAAUUUUUGUUGAAAUCAAAAAAAGUUUAAUUUUGAACCCCAACUUGGACCAACUUGAAAACUGGGCCCAUAAUCAAAAAUCUAAACACAUGUUUAGAUUCCGCAUAUCAAAGAACCCCAAGAAUUCAAUUUUUGUUAAAAUCAAACUAAGUUUAAUUUUGGACUCUUUGGACCUUAAUGUAGACCAAUUUAAAAAACGGGACCCAAAAUUAAAAAUCUACAUACACGGUUAGAUUUGGAAUAUUAAAGAACCCCAAUAAUUCAAUUUUUGAUGAAAUCAAACAAAGUUUAAUUUUGGACCCUUUUGACUUCAAUAUGAACCAAUUUAAUAGCGGGGCCCACAAAUAAAAAAUCUAAAUACAUGGUUAGAUUCAGCAUAUCAAAGAACCCCAUAUAUUCAAUUUUUGUUGAAAUCAAAAAAAGUUUAAUUUUGAACCCCAACUUGGACCAACUUGAAAACUGGGCCCAUAAUCAAAAAUCUAAACACAUGUUUAGAUUCCGCAUAUCAAAGAACCCCAAGAAUUCAAUUUUUGUUAAAAUCAAACUAAGUUUAAUUUUGGACUCUUUGGACCUUAAUGUAGACCAAUUUCAAAAACGGGACCCAAAAUAAAAAAUCUAAAUACACGGUUAGAUUUGGCAUAUCAAAGAACCCCAAUAAUUCAAAUUUUGAUGAAAUCAAACAAAGUUUAAUUUUGGACCCUUUUAACCUCAAUAUGAACCAAUUUGAUAGCGGGUCCAUAAAUAAAAAAUCUAAAUACAUGGUUAGAUUCAGCAUAUCAAAGAACCCCAUAUAUUCAAUUUUUGUUGAAAUCAAACAAAGUUUAAUUUUGGACCCCAAUUUGGACCAACUUGAAAACUUGGCCAAAAAUCUAAAAUCUAAAUACAUGUUUAGAUUCAGCAUAUCAAAGAACCCCAUAUAUUCAAUUUUUGUUGAAAUCAAACAAAGUUUAAUUUUGGACCCCAACUUGGACCAACUUGAAAACUGGGCAAAUAAUCAAAAAUCUAAACACAUGUUUAGAUUCAGCAUAUCAAAGAACCCCAGGAAUUCAAUUUUUGUUAAAAUCAAACUAAGUUUAAUUUUGGACCCUUUGGACCUUAAUGUAGACCAAUUUAAAAAACAGGACCCAAAAUUAAAAAUCUACAUACAUGGUUAGAUUUGGAAUAUUAAAGAACCCCAAUAAUUCAAUUUUUGAUGAAAUCAAACAAAGUUUAAUUUUGGACCCUUUUGACUUCAAUAUGAACCA